CCCUUAGAUGUUCUGGGCCGCACGCGCGCUACAAUGAUGAAUUCAACGAGUUUAUAACCUUGGUUGAAAAGCCUGGGUAAUCUUUUGAACUUUCGUCGUGAUGGGGCUAGACCCUUGCAAUUAUUGGUCUCCAACGAGGAAUUCCUAGUAAACGCAAGUCAUCAGCUUGCAUUGAUUACGUCCCUGCCCUUUGUACACACCGCCCGUCGCACCUACCGAUUGAAUGGUCCGGUGAGGCUUUGGGAUCUGAGCGGAAAGAGCGUUUCGCUGUUUCUGCUCGGAAAACUCAGUCGAACCUUAUCAUUUAGAGGAAGGAGAAGUCGUAACA
Molecule: ribosomal RNA, 328 nt
Filed under: uncultured eukaryote
Lineage: Eukaryota
Description: partial 18S ribosomal RNA
Rfam family: Eukaryotic small subunit ribosomal RNA
Source: RNAcentral